GGGCCCGUGGCUCAGUGGUAGAGCACCUGUCUUAUAUGCAGGGGGUCCUGGGUUCAAUCCCCAGCGGGCCCA
RNAcentral lists this transfer RNA (72 nucleotides) under Candidatus Aenigmatarchaeota archaeon. Its description in RNAcentral is "tRNA-Ile". It matches the Rfam family "tRNA". Rfam says of the family: Transfer RNA (tRNA) molecules are approximately 80 nucleotides in length. Lineage: Archaea; Nanobdellati; Candidatus Aenigmatarchaeota. The record is from RNAcentral.